UUUGACUAUUCAUAUUAUUUGAUUUUUUUGUGAUUACUAUUUUUAUUGUUACUAGAUGAUAAAACAUAGAUAGUACUUUAUGCGUGACUAAUUUUUUUAAAAUUUUUAUAUGAAAUUUUUAGACAAGAUGAAUGGUUAAA
This 140-nucleotide microRNA precursor is filed under the name Oryza brachyantha (malo sina). RNAcentral's name for it is "MIR812 microRNA precursor family". It matches the Rfam family "MIR812 microRNA precursor family", at positions 33 to 173 of the family's 205-position model. The record is from Rfam by way of RNAcentral. Lineage: Eukaryota; Viridiplantae; Streptophyta; Magnoliopsida; Poales; Poaceae.